RNAcentral lists this long non-coding RNA (656 nucleotides) under Rattus norvegicus (Norway rat). RNAcentral's name for it is "long non-coding RNA NONRATT001315". The record is from RNAcentral. Lineage: Eukaryota; Metazoa; Chordata; Mammalia; Rodentia; Muridae.
GAUAGCAGCAACAGGGCAAAUCUACUCAGGAAGGAGCAAGAGUGGGGCCGAGAUGGCAACAGGGAGGGUGACCCUUCUUUUGAUACAUUUUUUCCACUGGACUGCUACCAGAGGUGCCAUCCACAAUCAGGCUGGGUUUCCCACCCCAAUGGAGACAGUUGGGACAGUUAUUCAGGUCAGGAUCCCUACUCAGGUGACUCUAAUUCGUAGCAAGCUGACAUUUAAACCAGCCACAGUAGCUGGCAGUCUCUGCACCACCUUCUUGCUACUUAUGAUGAAAAACAGUACGUGUCUUCCAUAUGGUUCUCAAAUGUUAGGCACCUGGUUACUUGCAUCUGAAGUCAGGCACAACCUUUCGGAUAAAAUUAUACAGCUCCACUGAUAGGGUGGUUAUCGUUAAUUGUCAGUUUGACAGAAUCCCAGAAUUACCCAGGGGCUGGGCCUCUGGGCAUGCAUGUGGAUGGUUUAGCCUCAUUGAGGUGGGAAGAUCUGCCCACUGUGAACAUUGCUGGGGUGGAGAUCCUGGAGUGAAUGGAGAACAGAGAGAGAGCCAUGCAUGCAUUCAUUGUUCCCUGUGGCGGAUGGUGGAUGUGACGUGACAAAGUGCACCAAACUCCUCACGGUAAUAAACUGCACCCUUGAACUGAGAGCCAGAA